UUUACUCAGCUAGAAUUUUGGACUUCAGUCCCCAUCCUUAGAGUUGUGAGAAUUCUAGCUCAAAUUGUAUUUUUCUUGUUGUUCUCAAGUUAAGGUGAGUGGUGAAGUUUCGUCGUGAACUCAUUGUUCCAGUUGGCUGCCCAGAAAAAGUUGUUAGAGUAAGCUGUCUAUUAUCGUCACUCAAUGAAAAAUUCAUCCUGCUUGAUACUGCUGUUGAAAGUGAACGUUGUGAUACGGCUCCGGAACAUUUCAAAGCUAUUUUAAGCAAGAAAGAGGUCACUGACAUACUAGAGAUUUUGCGCACUUGUAUUGGACUGUGCCAGAGGAAUAGCCCCCGUGGUUUCAAUUGCUUGAUUCUUUUUGUGAGCCUUUGGUGGAUUCACAUGAUCUUAGUAUAAUAAGAUAUAAGGAUGAAGAACGUGCGCAAGAAGGCGAGACGGCUUGCAAAAUUCAAUGGAAGGUGUCAAAAUCUCAUAGGAACGCUCACAUCCUCAGGAAAUUGAUCUCUGCGUUUAUCAAAGAGAUUGUUGAAGGAAUGAUAGGAUAUGUAUGCCUCCCAAGGAUCAUAUUAAAGCUUCUUUCAGAUAAUGAGACGCAGGAAUUUGGUGAUUUCAAACCUACUAUACUGGGGAUGCUUGGAACAUAUGAUAUUGAGAGGCGGAUUUUGGAUACAGCUAAAUCUUUGAUUAAAGAUGAUACAUAUUCUGCGUUGAGCUUACUGAAGAGAGGAGCUUCUCACGGAUUUGCACCUCGUAGCCUCCUAUGUUGCAUUUGUAACUGUACCUGCUAAUCCUAUGAUUAUUUCUGGAUAUAUGUUCACUAGCUUGUAUAUUAUAGCAGAAACUGAAUUCACGAGAGGGCGAAAGUAUGGCUAGUACUGAGCCUGAGGUUAGACAUUUACGAUA
This is a long non-coding RNA of Capsicum annuum, 905 nucleotides long. RefSeq lists it as uncharacterized. The transcript is spliced from 5 exons. The record is from RefSeq and is a predicted model, not a curated record. Lineage: Eukaryota; Viridiplantae; Streptophyta; Magnoliopsida; Solanales; Solanaceae.